CAUUUAUAGUUUUAUUCACCACUCCUGUUAGUUUUGGAUGCGCUCGGCUCCAACCAAUCAGACGCAACCUGUGUAAGCAAAGGAUGAUGGGAGAACGGAGAGACCCGUUUAUAAGAAUAAGAAAAGGAGGCGGAAUUGAUUGAUUCUAAUGCAGAUCAGCAUCAAUGUCCACGUGAAGAACCUAGUUAUGCUGCCAGUGUCAACCCAACAAAAGGCACUUUCACAAUAUAUAAAAGAAGUGUAUGGAACUGAGGUGCUUCCUCAGGUUGUUGGAGGAUGGAGAAGAGGACGCAGCCGUGACUUGUGAGAUGGCGUCUGAGUCAGCUACUACUCACUAGGAGAUCAGAAACAUGGUGUCCUUGCAAAAGUGGAAAGAGGCCAGGCCUUGUCUUAUAGACAAAAUGUUAUCUACUCUGGAUCCACAGUCACACCGUGUGUGUCAGUGUGGCAAACAAGUAGUUGUGAGGUGUCUGGACUGCCUGCCUCUUCCAUUCCUUUGUGCUGACUGUGAUAUUGCAGUUCACACACGCUAUGUCCUGCACAACCAAGAGGCAGUAACAGGAGGGUUUUUGCAGCCUUCAUCAGAGUUUCACAAGCCAAUAGGUACGGUUUUUAAGUCCUAUGCAUUUCUUGCUAUGUUCUAUGAGUGGGUGCUGUUAUUGUAUAUUUAUUGUGUAUCAUUCGUUAAUUUCCAAUUCUUUUUAUAUAUAUUGUGUGUUUUUAAUGUUAGUUCGGCUGUUGCCUGUGCAAAGGCCAGACCAUGUGUGUGACUGCCCAGCAGGUAACGUUGAGGUUUCACCCGGCGCAGUUGUGGCUCUUGUAACCAUAAAUGGUUGCCCUUUUGUCACACAGUACAUACACAGUAGAUGUGUUUGCAGGUUUUAGUGCAAAUUGUACAUUGCUAUCAUCAUUGUUUAUUUAUAUAGCACUUUAAAACACACAAGGCUGACCAAAGUGCUGAACAAUAGAAACAUAAUAGAUACAUCUAUAAGAAUUGCUAUCUUGUUUUGAAUUACCCUCGGCCUGCAGUAUAUGUGGGCACCUGUCAAAGGUCAUUUGGAUUUACUUUGCUUUGCUUUGAAAACAACAUGAAAUCUUCACAACAUGAAAAAAAUGAAUGCUUUGACCCAUGACUGAAUUUAUCCUUAUCCUUCCUAAAGGCUGUUAUAACCUUGCACUGCCAGUGGUGAGCUGCACCAGCUGUGACUUAAUGUGGUCCCCUCAGUUAAGGACAUCCUGGGUAGUGGAUAUUGGCCUGGCACCUUAAAUUUCUGCACCCUGUUUUCAAUGGAUGCCUUUCAGUCUUUCUAUGACAUUAAGAAGGCCGCACCAGGGAUGUCAUUUAAGGCAUUUGUCAAAAUGCUGGAUGAAAGAACAGCCCAUUUUUGAAGG
This is a long non-coding RNA of Oreochromis aureus, 1392 nucleotides long. Lineage: Eukaryota; Metazoa; Chordata; Actinopteri; Cichliformes; Cichlidae. The record is from Ensembl.